AGAAUCAACGCUGGCGGCGUGCCUCAGAUAUGCAAGUCGAACGCGAAAGUUCCCUUCGGGGGAUGAGUAGAGUGGCGCACGGGUGAGUAACACGUAGGUAAUCUACCUUCGGAUGGGGAAUAACAACCGGAAACGGUUGCUAAUACCGCAUAAUGCAGCGGCACCUAAUGGUGACAGUUGUUAAAGCGGGGGAUCGAAAGACCUCGCGUCUGAAGAGGAGCCUGCGGCGGAUUAGCUAGUUGGUAGGGUAACGGCCUACCAAGGCGACGAUCCGUA
This 276-nucleotide ribosomal RNA is filed under the name uncultured soil bacterium. Its description in RNAcentral is "partial 16S ribosomal RNA". It matches the Rfam family "Bacterial small subunit ribosomal RNA", at positions 26 to 285 of the family's 1533-position model. The record is from RNAcentral.